AGAGAGAGAGAGAGAGAGAACAAUGAAGAAGUGGACAAUCACAGCAGACAUAUUGUUUAUAAGAUAAAAUUAUGGCAAUCAUUAAAUUUAACAUUUUUAGAUCCAAAUGAUUCCCAUAGUUCAUGUAACCAAAUGUGUUUUACAAACAAAGUAACAAACCAUAGCCAUCUUGGUAUUUGAAUUAUUUUCUGAGAUUUUUCAAAAAGCUAACAACUGCUUUGAGUUUGAAUUUUCCAUAUUUAAUUUCUUUAUUUUGUAGGUUCAAAUAUUAAUUCAUUCAGAUUUAUUUAGUUCCCAUUCACAUAUUUUACAUAUUCAGUAAUUUUAGACAUUUGAAGCUUCAAGGUUUAAAGUCCUGUAGAUAUGUCAAACAAAUCUGAUAAAGUCAAUCCAACAAUAAGCAAUUUCUUUCAACACCUAAGAGGGAUUUUUAAAAACUAAACUAAAGGGCACUAAGCAGGGGCUAACCUGAUACCACAAAAGUCUUGGUGGCAAUUUAAAACCUCUAUUCUCAUUAAAAAUUUUCAAAUUAUUUGUCAAUGGAGUUACAUAUCUUACCUGUGCAGGAACAGCAACAGCCA
RNAcentral lists this unclassified non-coding RNA (581 nucleotides) under Hevea brasiliensis (rubber tree). Lineage: Eukaryota; Viridiplantae; Streptophyta; Magnoliopsida; Malpighiales; Euphorbiaceae. The record is from RNAcentral.